AGCUCAGAACAUGUCCUUUAUUUUCCUUUUCUAAUUGGGCACAUUAUCAGGUGAGGGUGUGAUGCCUGGAGCUGUCACAGCCACCUUGUGCUCAUUAAGAGAAAAAUCUGAAAGCAAAAGUUGACAGGCUAAAGAUGGCAGAAUCCCAAGGCUGUGGGGCCAAUCCUGGAAGCAUCCUACUACCAUAAAUGCUUCAGAAACAAGACUCUUGGUGGCCAGAGCCGACGACCUAGAAAUGAAACUCCCUCUCCUCUGAGGUGCUGUCUGAGACACAGGAAGGUGCGUCCAGAAGAAGCCGAGUUUAUAAGGUCAGAGAAGAACGAAGACUGGGCUACCAGUUCUGACUGAACACUGUAAAAGCUCUGUAAUCUGGGGAAAGUGACUCUCUCACCUUCUGUUUCUUGAGUUUUAAAAGCAAAGAAAUUGUUUCA
Molecule: long non-coding RNA, 431 nt
Organism: Hyaena hyaena (striped hyena)
Lineage: Eukaryota; Metazoa; Chordata; Mammalia; Carnivora; Hyaenidae
Exons: 2
Source: RefSeq, a predicted model, not a curated record